This 89-nucleotide non-coding RNA is filed under the name Pseudomonas sp. 8AS. RNAcentral describes it as "Glycine riboswitch aptamer". It matches the Rfam family "Glycine riboswitch aptamer". From Rfam's summary of the family: This family represents the bacterial glycine riboswitch. Glycine riboswitches usually consist of two metabolite-binding aptamers domains with similar structures in tandem. Lineage: Bacteria; Pseudomonadati; Pseudomonadota; Gammaproteobacteria; Pseudomonadales; Pseudomonadaceae. The record is from Rfam by way of RNAcentral.
CCGCGCCCCGCAGGAGAGUGGGGGCCCCGGGCCCUCCGCCGAAGGCGCAAACUCCCAUAAUCGCUCAGGCUCAGAACUGCGGAUUCCAU